Long non-coding RNA from Lytechinus variegatus (green sea urchin), 1073 nucleotides. RefSeq lists it as uncharacterized. Lineage: Eukaryota; Metazoa; Echinodermata; Echinoidea; Temnopleuroida; Toxopneustidae. The transcript has 5 exons. The record is from RefSeq and is a predicted model, not a curated record.
GGUAUGUGUCAUGCAAUUCCAUGUAAAGAUACAGGAAUGCAUUGUACGGUGUAUACAUGAAUUUAGAGAUAUCAACAUGACUGGAUCCCGCUUGUCACCUCGACUGUGAGGACUCCAUCAUCAGGUUUGGACACUGGAUCGACAAGAAGCAGAUUUCAUUGGAUCAGACUGGUGCAGGAGUUUCACAAGUUGGAGGGGAAUCUACAGCUGCAUGUAUUCCUGGUGGAGACCAUGAAGUUCCUUCAUCAGGGGGCCUGUUUCAUAAAGACUAAAAACUAUACUGUAUCUCUGCCAUUAUGGCAACUACCAUGGAAACCUUUAUUGUGAUUAGCUACUGAGCCAUGUUACCAUGGUAGUUGCCAUGAUGGCAAUGUUACAAAAGUUGUAACUCUUCAUGAAAUGGGCCCCUGGACUAUAGUAUCAACAUCAAAGAGGAAGUCUUCAUCAUCACCAUCCAGGUUGUUGCUGAUGUGUCCUCUGCCUGGGAGAUCAUUUACAACAAAGAGUUGUUGGUACCUUUUGACUGGGCAUGACCAUCUGCUUCAUGAUUGUCAAAAAUGGAAAAUACUUCUUCACUAGUACUGAGAAGAGUGUCUUGAGGGUAAAGACUUGGCUGGAGGUGUUUGGUGCUCUGGUGAAUCCACUCAAUCCAGUGAAAUGAAUCAUUAGGAGGAGUGCCAGAAGAGAGAUGAAUGGAUUCUGACCUCCAAAGGCUUAGGAGUACAGCAGAGAUUAAGGAGACAGUGAAGGCUGUGAAAGCACUAGUUGAAUCAUAAUUCAUGUGACUCAUGGAUACACCCCCUAUCUGAUGUUAUUCAUCUUCCAAGCAUGGAUAAGAGAGAUAGUCUACAUCAGAGAAGGAUACAAUCAUCCUCUACAUGGAAUGUCAGUGUUUUUGCUUUCAUAAGGGAUCCAUAACACAAAUGUUUGCAAUCAGUUGCAUAUUGCAACGUCCAAUCAAGAUCAUUUUUGCAUGCACCAGGAGCCAAUCAGGAUGGUUGUUUUAUAUUGGCAUAACAUAAUCAAACAUUUGUGUUAAAAGGCUCAGGUAUGUAGAGGAGCAAACACCAUUU